This 253-nucleotide ribosomal RNA is filed under the name uncultured bacterium. RNAcentral's name for it is "partial 16S ribosomal RNA". It matches the Rfam family "Bacterial small subunit ribosomal RNA", at positions 524 to 776 of the family's 1533-position model. The record is from RNAcentral.
UACGUAGGGUGCGAGCGUUAACCGGAAUUACUGGGCGUAAAGCGUGCGCAGGCGGCUUUGCAAGACAGAUGUGAAAUCCCCGGGCUCAACCUGGGAACUGCAUUUGUGACUGCAAGGCUAGAGUACGGCAGAGGGGGAUGGAAUUCCGCGUGUAGCAGUGAAAUGCGUAGAUAUGCGGAGGAACACCAAUGGCGAAGGCAAUCCCCUGGGCCUGUACUGACGCUCAUGCACGAAAGCGUGGGGAGCAAACAGG